AAGGCAGUUUCAUAUGUACAUUUUUACUUCAAGCAUGAACUUUUGAGACAUCAGGAAAAUUUGUAGAUUACUGUGUAGGUUAGUGUUAGCAACUGUUGCUAAGCUCGAGAACAUUCCUGUGUGUGUGCUGCCACACUGUGUCAUUAAUGGGAAUUGCACCUUUAUUUCACAGCUGCAGGCCAAAUUUGAACACCUCAAAAGAGUUCACCAAGAAGAGAGAAUGAAGCUUGAAGAGAAGAGAAGACUCUUGGAAGAAGAAAUAAUUGCUUUCUCAAAAAAGAAAGCUACCUCAGAGAUAUACCAGAACCAGUCCUACAUGGCAUCGGGCAGCAACCUGAAGAAGGACAAGGACCGUAAGAACUCCAAUUUUAUGUAAAACAAAGGUUCCAGAUCACAGAAGGUCAUCACAAGCAAAAAUUAUUAAAAUGUUAGAAGUAUA
Leptonychotes weddellii (Weddell seal) is the source of this 439-nucleotide non-coding RNA. NCBI's taxonomy places the organism in Eukaryota, Metazoa, Chordata, Mammalia, Carnivora, Phocidae. The record is from RefSeq and is a predicted model, not a curated record.